RNAcentral lists this microRNA precursor (67 nucleotides) under Bombyx mori (domestic silkworm). RNAcentral describes it as "mir-2774 microRNA precursor family". It matches the Rfam family "mir-2774 microRNA precursor family". The record is from Rfam by way of RNAcentral. Lineage: Eukaryota; Metazoa; Arthropoda; Insecta; Lepidoptera; Bombycidae.
GUAACAUUUGGAGCGUUGGCUUACUGAGCAAUUUCACCCGCUCGGUGGAAGAUCUUCCCUUUAUCGU